UCCAGCGCAAGGUGGGAUCUGAAGGAAGUCAGUGGCAAAGCCUUGGUCUGAGGUACACGAAUUACAUUAUGAUGGUGAUGGCAAUGUACGAAGCUUAGUUACAUAUCUUCAAGUGGUGAAGUUUUACUAUAAUUACGCUUAUGACCUAAAGGGCAACAGGCUUCAAAAAGCAAGUUCGAAUC
Molecule: non-coding RNA, 182 nt
Filed under: Clostridium saccharobutylicum
Lineage: Bacteria; Bacillati; Bacillota; Clostridia; Eubacteriales; Clostridiaceae
Source: RNAcentral